This 401-nucleotide ribosomal RNA is filed under the name uncultured bacterium. RNAcentral's name for it is "bacterial SSU rRNA". It matches the Rfam family "Bacterial small subunit ribosomal RNA", at positions 358 to 774 of the family's 1533-position model. The record is from RNAcentral.
GGAAUCUUCCACAAUGGACGAAAGUCUGAUGGAGCAACGCCGCGUGAGGGAAGAAGGUUUUCGGAUCGUAAACCUCUGUCCUUGGUGAAGAGGAAGAGACGGUAGCCAAGGAGGAAGCCCCGGCUAACUACGUGCCAGCAGCCGCGGUAAUACGUAGGGGGCGAGCGUUGUCCGGAAUGAUUGGGCGUAAAGGGCGCGUAGGCGGCCCGGUAAGUCUGGAGUGAAAGUCCUGCUUUUAAGGUGGGAAUUGCUUUGGAUACUGUCGGGCUUGAGUGCAGGAGAGGUAAGUGGAAUUCCCAGUGUAGUGGUGAAAUGCGUAGAGAUUGGGAGGAACACCAGUGGCGAAGGCGACUUACUGGACUGUAACUGACGCUGAGGCGCGAAAGUGUGGGGAGCAAACA